Molecule: long non-coding RNA, 526 nt
Organism: Zea mays
Lineage: Eukaryota; Viridiplantae; Streptophyta; Magnoliopsida; Poales; Poaceae
Exons: 2
Source: RefSeq, a predicted model, not a curated record
AUUCCUUUCUGUCGUGUCCGACCACACAAAACAAAUCUGCUCACGCACACUGUCGUUGCCGUAAGCCGUCCACGUCGCCGUCGGGCCGUCCAGGGUUCGGCGUCACCGCCCCAGCUCCGGCAUCGCCGCCCCUCUCCCGGACGCUACCAUAGCUCGUCGACGCCGAUCAGCUCGGCGCUUUAACUCAGCGAGUCAAUGCGCUCAUUGCCUAUGAGACUAUGAUGAUCCCUACCACGCCAAUUUGAUCACCUUUGCUACUGAUGAAGAAAAGACUGGAAGCAAGCGCGUAGGCCGUAGGACACGGUACGUGUUGCUCGUCCCACAACAGCAAACUUCAAAAGCAACGAGCACCACCAAAACCUUGGAAGUUCUGCAUAUUUUCUUAACAACGGGUUGCAAAUUUCAUAAUAGCGGUAGGGCUGCAACUUCUUAUCAGCAAAUUCUUGCCACAACCACAGGCAACUUGGGUUCUCUGCAUUCUAGUACUAGUGUAUUAAUUAAAGAGCAUAAUAGACAUCCAUGACAA